AAUUUACUGUGUUGCCAUUGUCGCUGUUUAUUUUACUUAUAAACAACUUAUCGGAGAUAUAUCUAACUUUACAUCUGCUCCUUUUAAAUUUGUCCAUUUUUAACUGGAUAUUGAUAACAAACGUGACACUUCUAAUGACUUCACAAGCUACUAAACUUCACAAUUAAGAUUCAAAAUUGGUAGAUGAGUUUUAGUUUGCGUCGUUUUAAAAUCGUAAAAUUUAUAUAGAUGAUUAAAAUUAAUUCAAAAAUCAACAUGACGUCGAAUGAAAGGUGAUGUUAUUACCUUUGUUAAGUCGGGAUUAUAUUUUUAUUAGGUUUAUAGUCCGCUGGUGAUUAAAUGCAAUAUGUCACUUUUUAAUAAUUGGAAUCUUAUCAAUGAUAAUAGUACAUGCUGUAACAAAGUUGUUAUUAAACCGUACUUUUUACUUACUUCUUCAUGUACAUAAAUCAGCAUCACCUGGUUAUACGUAAAAGAUUGAAAUCAUGUCAAAAGAGUCAACUUCUUCAAAUUCUGGUGUUACGCACCAACCAGUACUUCCUAUAAAAGUUGCUCAUAAAGUCAGUUGCAACCAAAACGAAGCAAUACCUCAGUGUUCUAAACUGCGACAAAAGGCAAUAAAUAAUAAAGAUAAUUGUCGGAAUGUCACAAAACAAAUUUCUGAAAAGAAAAUGCAGAAUGUUUGUAAAAAACAAAAUAAAAAGAAAAGCAAAAAUAUUGUUUCUUCUGACAUAAUUGAGGAGGAUGAAAUUGAAGUUAAAAAAUCUAAACCCAUAAAAGAAAAACAGACAUUUCCAAAAUAUAUUCCUAUAGACAAAAUUGAUCAAUUUUUAAAACCUCAAAAUUCUGCAGAUGCUCAAUAUGUAGAAGGAUACAUACGUAUUAACUCUAGAUACAACAAACAUGCUUUUUUAUCUUGUAAUGGUGAACGUGAUCUAUUGAUUAUCGGUAUAAGGGACAGAAAUCGUGCUUUGGACGGUGAUUUUGUUGUAGUCCGUAUACAUCCUACAGAAAAAUGGCAAAUGCAUCGGGGAGAAAUACAGAAAACAGGCAUUGUUGUUUGUAUAAGAGAAAAGAUACAUCCAAGGAAAGCAAUUGGCUACUUAAAACGACGUGAUUCGUCGGUAUUUUUUUAUCCAAGAGACCAACGAGUUCCGUUGCUUAAAAUACAUCAGGAAUCGGUGCAGCGGUUUACCUCGUUUGUAGAUGGUUGUGAUGAUACAUUGUACCUAGCUGUUUUAGUUAAUUGGAUAAUGCCUCAAUUUGCAUAUGGGAAAAUUGAAAAAAUAGUCGGAAGUAUGGGUGAUAUAGAAGCCGAGUCGAAUGCAAUAUUACUCGAACAUGAUUUAGAUGUAACACCUUACAGCCCUAUUCUGAUGAAAGGACUCCCUAACAGUGAUUAUUCUUUAACAGAAAAUGACAUAAAAAAUAGAGAAGACUGGAGAGAUGAAUGUGUGUUUACAAUUGAUCCUGAUACAGCAGUUGACUUAGACGAUGCAGUUUCUUGCAAAAUUUUAGAAAAUAAAAAUUAUGAGAUCGGUGUACAUAUAGCGGACGUUACUCAUUAUCUAGACUUCUUGUCGCCGUUAGAUAUUCAAAUUUCAAAACGGGCAACGACUAUUUACAUGACGGACAAUGUAUAUCAUAUGUUACCUAAGCAACUAUGCGAAGUAUGUUCGCUGUUGCCAGGCCAAGAUAAAUUGGCCUUUUCUGUCAUUUGGGAAAUGACACAAAAUGCCGAAAUUGUCAGUCAUCGUUUCGCUAAAACAGUAAUAAGGUCCUGUUGCCAAAUGGCUUAUCGGCACGCACAGGAAUUCAUAGAAAAUCCAAAAAAGAAUUGGCCUCGCAAGUUUCUAAGGGUGAAGGGAAAUUUUAAUCUUAAAGACUUAUCGACGAAAGUAAAUAUUUUGCAUAGUUUAGCUAUUCAGAUGCGUGAUAAAAGAUUUAAAAAUGGAGCGCUGCGAAUAGAUCAACCAAAAUUACAUGUUACACUUGAUCCAAUUACGCGUUUACCAAUAUCAUACAGUAUAGAAGAACUUAAAGAUAGUAACAGACUUAUAGAAGAAUUUAUGUUGUUAGCUAAUAUGACGGUUGCUACUUAUUUGUACGAUACUAUUCCUGAUACUGCUUUGUUGCGUAAUCAUAGAGAACCCUCACAAUAUAUUCUCAAUACGACCAAAGACAUUCUGGAAAAAUUUGGAAUUCAUUUAGAUAUCGAAUCAUCUGCUUCUUUACACGCCAGUAUUAAACGAUACGAGGAAGAGUUAGAGUCUGAAAAUAACGAGAUUAAAACAACGAUGAAAUACAGAAUGAUGGUCAUCAACAAUCUUUGUUCUAAAGCUAUGGCUCGUGCAACCUAUAAAUGUUCAUCAACAGUUAAGAGUGAGGAGGACUUGAAACAUUAUGCUUUGAACGUAUCCCUUUAUACACAUUUCACUUCUCCAAUUAGACGAUAUUCAGAUUGCGUAGUACAUCGUUUACUUUAUUGGACUAUGCAGAACAUAACGUUGCCCGAAACAUGGUCAGAAAAAUUGUGUAAAGAAAUAGCGGCAAAUUGUAAUUUAAAAAAGUACAACGCAAAAAUGGCUCAAGAACGAAGUAAUGAAUUGUACUUUACGUAUUUAAUUGACUUAAACGGUCCUAUCGUUACUAUGGGCAUCGUGUUAAGUGUAACAGAGAAUUUUAUAGACGUUAUACUGUGUCACGUUGGUAUAAAAUUAAGGAUUUUUCUUUCAAAAUUAAAGGACUUGAUGGAUAUAGAAUACUCUUCAGAGUGUUCAGUUUCAACGAUACGUGUUUCUUGGAAACAAACGUCUUUUACUCAGGAUCAGGAAUCAAUUAUGUUGCAUUAUCUUUAUUACAUUAAUUGUUUUACAAAAGGAAGUGAUAUUGCAAAGGUGAAUUUGUGUAAAUUACAACAAUAUUGUUUAUUUUUCGCAAGAUUCAACAGUUCCGUUGAGGUAAUGAAAGUUCUGAAUGUUGCGGAAAAAAAUGAUGCUGCGAAAAACAUCGCUGGCUAUUUAUCCCGUGGUACUAGUAAACGGAGAGAAGGGCUGUCUCCGUAUAAUAAAAUUUAUGAAUUCAAAUCACAAGUGUGGAAUCAGAAUUGUGAUAUGAUUAUGACUUCUGUAUCAGGUCAUUUGUUGGAUUUUCAGUUUGUUAGUGCAUAUCGAAAAUGGCAAAGUUGUCAUCCGUUAAGUUUAUUUGAUGCACCUGUAACAAAACAAUGCAUAGAGCAAACUUCUUUGAAGAUCAAAGAGACUUUAGAAAGAGAAGUGAAAAAGUGCAAUGCAUUAAUUAUUUGGACAGAUUGUGAUCGUGAAGGAGAAAACAUAGGUUUUGAAAUCAUUCAAGUCUGUCAAGCAGUUAAACCUAAUAUUUCUGUAUAUAGAGCAAAAUUUUCUGAAAUUACACAAGCAUCUAUAAAUAGAGCUCUCCAGAAUCUAUGCGAGCCAAACAAAGCAGUUAAUGAUGCUGUUGAUGUGCGAAUGCAAUUAGAUUUAAGGAUAGGGGCUGCAUUUACAAGAUUUCAGACACUGAGACUUCAAAAAGUAUUUCCUAGAACUCUGUCUGAUAUGUUGAUCAGUUAUGGCAGUUGCCAGUUUCCUACACUAGGUUUUGUAGUCGAAAGAUAUUUAGCAGUAGAAAGAUUCAAACCAGAGCCAUAUUGGAAAAUCAGUGUAAAAGAUACCCGUGACAAUAUUAGUGUAGACUUCAGGUGGGCAAGAGGAAGAUUAUUUGAAAAAUUGCCUUGUGAAGUUUUCUUGGACAUGUGUCUUGAACAGCCUAAUGCCACUGUACAAAAGGUAACAAGUAAGCCUACCAGUAAAUGGAGACCUGUACCAUUGGACACAGUUGAACUGGAGAAACAAGGUUCUCGAAAGCUUAGGUUAACUGCAAAACAGACUAUGAAAAUUGCAGAAAAAUUAUAUACUCAAGGUUUUAUCAGUUAUCCGCGUACAGAAACAAAUAUAUUUCCAAAAGAGUUAAAUUUAGUUCCUUUUGUAAAUCAGCAAGUAAAUAAUCCACUUUGGGGAAACUUUGCACAACAAUUAUUAGAGAAAGGAUUGCAUCCUAGACAAGGAAAAAAAAGUGAUCAGGCACAUCCUCCUAUACAUCCAACAAAAUGUGCAGAUAAUUUACAAGGUGAUGAAGCUAAAGUUUAUGAAUUUGUUGUUCGACACUUUUUGGCUUGUUUAUCGGACAAUGCCAUCGGCCGAGAAACAGUGGUAGAGAUUGACAUAGCCGGAGAAAAGUUCGUUGCUAACGGCCUUCAAAUUAUCGAAAAAAAUUAUUUAAAUGUAUAUAUUUAUGAGAAAUGGAGCGAUAAGGAAAUUUACGCGUAUCAAGAAGGACAAGUUUUUAGACCAACUAGUAUAGAUAUGAUACAAGAAGAAACAUCCCCGCCGCAGUUGUUGACCGAAGCUGAUUUAAUUAGUUUAAUGGAUAAAUAUGGCAUCGGUACUGAUGCCACUCAUGCUGAACAUAUAGAUACGAUAAAAUCGCGUCAAUAUGUAGGUCUGAUGGAUGGGAAACAUUUGAUACCUGGGAAACUUGGAAUUGGAUUAGUAAUGGGUUAUGAUAGUAUGGGAUUUGAAAUGUCGAAACCGAAAUUGAGAGCUGGUUUAGAAAAAGAUCUUAAAUUGGUAUGCGAAGGCCAAAAGAGUCCAGCGGCUGUAUUAGAAACUCAAAUAAAUACGUAUCGUGAAGUGUUUAAAGUAGCAAUGGAACGGGCGAAUUUAAUCGAUAGUGCCUUAGCUGAUUAUCUUGAUGAACGACCGGUUGAAGCACAAGAUAUACAAAUGAGUAAUCCACCACAAGAUACUACUAUCUUUAAGUGUCCUAAAUGUGGUCUUGAUAUGAUUCUUAAAGAGAAAAAGCAAGACUCUGGCAAGUUUAUUGGCUGUAUAAACUUUCCAACAUGUAAUAAUACGGUUUGGUUCCCACAGAACGUUGAAUCUGUUGAAGUUCUAGAUGAAAUUUGUUCACAAUGUUCAGGAAAUAGGCACAAAUUAAAGUUUAAAUUAUCCAGAAAUGCUUUUCCACUUUAUGGUACCUCUUACACAACCUGCAUAGGUGGUUGUGAUCCUAUGUUUAAUGAAGCAUUGAAUAUUAAAAAUGAGAGUGUUAAAGCUAUUUCCCAGAGAAACGAAAGCGGUUACUACACUAUGUCCGAGGAGUCAAGAUCAUCAGUCGUUUCAAAUUCGACCGUCGGCUCGUUCGAAAUCAAAGUAGUAACCGUAGUACGACAAGCAGAUCGAAAGGUAAUACAAGAGCUAAGAACCAAUCUACUGCGAAGAAUAAUACGUACGAUAGCACCAAUAAUUCCAAUCCGCCGACCGUUGGUACAACAGUACUGAGUAAUGAAUCGACCAGAACAUGGGGUCAUAUCGAUGAUGAUUCCGUUAUUGUGUGUAAAUGUAAUGAAACUGCGAUGAAAUUAACCGUAAGAAAGGAAGGGCCUAAUCAGGGAAGAGUAUUUUAUAAAUGCGCACGUCGAGGUGCUGAGUGUGAUUUCUUUCUUUGGGAAUCGGAUGAUACUAAUCAAACUCAAAACGUCGCAAGCAACGAUUUUAGUGCGAGA
This 5584-nucleotide unclassified non-coding RNA is filed under the name Megachile rotundata (alfalfa leafcutting bee). Its description in RNAcentral is "dNA topoisomerase 3-alpha, transcript variant X3". Lineage: Eukaryota; Metazoa; Arthropoda; Insecta; Hymenoptera; Megachilidae. The record is from RNAcentral.